This 696-nucleotide ribosomal RNA is filed under the name uncultured bacterium. RNAcentral's name for it is "bacterial SSU rRNA". It matches the Rfam family "Bacterial small subunit ribosomal RNA", at positions 12 to 758 of the family's 1533-position model. The record is from RNAcentral.
UUUGAUCUGGCUCAGAACGAACGCUGGCGGCAGGCCUAACACAUGCAAGUCGAGCGAGAUCUUCGGAUCUAGCGGCGGACGGGUUAGUAACGCGUGGGAACGUACCCAAAGGUAGGGAAUAGCCACUGGAAACGGUGAGUAAUACCCUAUGUGGCUUCGGGGGAAAGAUUUAUCGCCUUUGGAUCGGCCCGCGUUAGAUUAGAUAGUUGGUGGGGUAACGGCCUACCAAGUCUACGAUCUAUAGCUGGUUUUAGAGGAUGAUCAGCAACACUGGGACUGAGACACGGCCCAGACUCUACGGGAGGCAGCAGUGGGGAAUCUUGGACAAUGGGGGCAACCCUGAUCCAGCCAUGCCGCGUGAGUGAUGAAGGCCCUAGGGUCGUAAAGCUCUUUCGCCUGUGAAGAUAAUGACUGUAGCAGGUAAAGAAACCCCGGCUAACUCCGUGCCAGCAGCCGCGGUAAUACGGAGGGGGUUAGCGUUGUUCGGAAUUACUGGGCGUAAAGCGCGCGUAGGCGGACUGGAAAGUUGGGGGUGAAAUCCCAGGGCUCAACCCUGGAACUGCCUCCAAAACUAUCAGUCUAGAGUUCGAGAGAGGUGAGUGGAAUUCCGAGUGUAGAGGUGAAAUUCGUAGAUAUUCGGAGGAACACCAGUGGCGAAGGCGGCUCACUGCUCGAUACUGACGCUGAGGUGCGAAA